CAACACUUUCCUGCACCCGUUAACCGAGACCUAUGGGUGGAUAAAUUACGUCUCUCAUAUCCAUCAGUGAAGGGAUUGAUGGAAAUAAAGUAUCGC
Molecule: non-coding RNA, 96 nt
Filed under: unclassified sequences
Description: PhotoRC-II RNA
Rfam family: PhotoRC-II RNA
Source: RNAcentral